Molecule: ribosomal RNA, 243 nt
Filed under: uncultured bacterium
Lineage: Bacteria
Description: partial 16S ribosomal RNA
Rfam family: Bacterial small subunit ribosomal RNA
Source: RNAcentral
UGGGUAACCUGCCUCAAAGAGGGGAAUAGCCUCCCGAAAGGGAGAUUAAUACCGCAUAAUAUGUUUAAGUCGCAUGACUUUAACAUCAAAGGAUUUUCUUUUAAGAAAUUCCACUUUGAGAUGGACCCGCGGCGCAUUAGCUAGUUGGUGAGGUAACGGCUCACCAAGGCAACGAUGCGUAGCCGACCUGAGAGGGUGAUCCGGCCACAUUGGAACUGAGACACGGUCCAGCUCCGUAGGAGG